Molecule: transfer RNA, 77 nt
Filed under: Anaerolinea thermophila
Lineage: Bacteria; Bacillati; Chloroflexota; Anaerolineae; Anaerolineales; Anaerolineaceae
Also listed under: 4 other names
Description: tRNA-Met
Rfam family: tRNA
About the family: Transfer RNA (tRNA) molecules are approximately 80 nucleotides in length. Their secondary structure includes four short double-helical elements and three loops (D, anti-codon, and T loops).
Source: RNAcentral
CGCGGGGUGGAGCAGCUCGGUAGCUCGUCGGGCUCAUAACCCGAAGGUCGGAGGUUCAAAUCCUCCCCCCGCUACCA